UAUGAAGGGGACUAGCGUUGUUCGGAAUUACUGGGCGUAAAGCGCACGUAGGCGGAUUUGUAAGUCAGGGGUGAAAUCCCGGGGCUCAACCUCGGAACUGCCUUUGAUACUGCAAGUCUCGAGUCCGAUAGAGGUGGGCGGAAUUCCUAGUGUAGAGGUGAAAUUCGUAGAUAUUAGGAGAACACCGGUGGCGAAGGCGGCCCACUGGAUCGGUACUGACGCUGAGGUGCGAAAGCGUGGGGAGCAAACAGG
RNAcentral lists this ribosomal RNA (252 nucleotides) under uncultured bacterium. Its description in RNAcentral is "partial 16S ribosomal RNA". It matches the Rfam family "Bacterial small subunit ribosomal RNA", at positions 524 to 776 of the family's 1533-position model. The record is from RNAcentral.